UACCCAAACUCAGCAACAAAAAGAUUAUACACAAAACCUAAAAUUUGUCCUAGUCUCUGUGCAGAGACUGUCUUAUUACAUAUAAUAUGUGUGAUAUCCAACAAACUAGCAAAUAUUUACCAUACAACAACGCAACACUGAACACAUAAUAUGACAUCCAUUGCCGUGAAUAAAUUAUGUCCUGCCACCCUCUUGACCUCUUGUGACAUCUUGGCCCCUUACAGUCUGGCCCAACUCUCUAGCCUUCUGGCCCGUCGUCUCCUGCAAGCGCCUCUUUGCCUGUUCCAUCUGCUGCGGCAGUUUUCCCCUCAUCUCCCUAAUAUAGUUUGCCAUCCACGACAAGGAAGAAAGUGCAGUGAUCCCAAAAGCUCCAGAUGCCAAGAACCCCACCACCGCUAAGCCAAUGACCAAGGCUACAGGGACCAGAACCGGGCUGCAAACCACGAAAACUGGGGUCGUAAUCGCCAGCCCAAUGAGUGUCCCAGUGAGAGUAGUACCUGCAAGGAAGAGGAGGGUGCCACUGAGUGGCAACAGGGUGACCACCGCUAUAAUCUGCGAAGUUGAAGGGCCGCCACCCUUUUCAGGGAAAACGCCGUUGAAGCCUUCCAUGCCAGGCCUUUGCUGUUGGUGUUUAGGGUCAGCCAUGGAAGCUUAGUUAAUUAAAGCUAUUGUAAGCUUUCUGGGAAAGUAUAGAAAGAAGAAAAGUAGGUUGGAGAAUUG
This 720-nucleotide unclassified non-coding RNA is filed under the name Hevea brasiliensis (rubber tree). The record is from RNAcentral. Lineage: Eukaryota; Viridiplantae; Streptophyta; Magnoliopsida; Malpighiales; Euphorbiaceae.